RNAcentral lists this ribosomal RNA (447 nucleotides) under Triticum aestivum (bread wheat). Its description in RNAcentral is "partial small subunit ribosomal RNA". Lineage: Eukaryota; Viridiplantae; Streptophyta; Magnoliopsida; Poales; Poaceae. The record is from RNAcentral.
AUGGCGUGGACGUGGCAUGCCCGCUAUGGGCAUCUAAGCUUCGACGCUCUGCACAAGCUGGCGCGGCAGGGCAUGGUGCAUGGCAUGCCUGUGGUCGAGCAGGCGGACCAGCUGUGCAACGCCUGCCUGGCCGGAAAGCAGCGGCGGUCAUUGUUCGCGCAGCAGGCGAAGUACCACGCACAGGAGCGGCUCAAGCUGGUGCACGGCGAUCUCUGCGACCCGAUCACGCCGGCGACACCGAGCGGGAAGAAGUACUUCCUCCUGCAGGUGGAUGAUGCAACACGGUACGUGUGGCUCGUGUUGCUGGCAUCAAAGGACAAAGUGGCCACGACGAUCAAGCAAGUAUACGCAAGCGCGGAGUCCGAGUCCGGACGCAAGCUGAAGACGCUGCGCAUGGAUCGCGGCGCCGAGUUGACGUCGGGUUCGUUUACAGCGUACUGCGCCUAG